GUUUCACCUGUGUCCAACCCGCUUUUCACCGUGGCCGUUAGAUGCAGUCAAACUUUCCUCACUCGUUCAGCUUCGGAAAGACUCUAUGACAGAUGGGACCUCCUACGUGCGGGACCCGAUAGUGAGAGGAAGGCAGGCCGGCUCGUUCGGUCGCUUCCUUCUCCUGUCCCCAGACCAGAGGUGAAAACCUAGAUCAAACGCCGCUCCCCCAAUCCUCGCUCCCGAAUCCCCACCCCUCCUUUGCUCCCUGAAUCCCCGUCGACCUCUCUCUCCCUCUCCCCAAUGAUGGUGCACCGCCGCUCCCCGAGAUGGAGCCGGACGGGCACGACCGCUAGGGCAGGCCGGAGAAGGCGACACAGGUGGGCGGCGGCGCGCUGCCUUGAGAAAUCGUCCACAGCACCGGGGCUCGAGAUCUUCGUUCAAGGGCGACGCCUAGAUGUGGUGGGAGCCGGCUCAAAAUCUCCCACCACCACCACGGCCACUACUCCGUCAGCAAGCAACGUCACAGGACAGCUUCUACCAGGUAAAGUCCUAACCCUAGCUCGCAUAUUUUCCGAUCUGAUCUGGAUAUUCUUGUCUUCUCUCCCGCUCGCGCAGCCCCAGCAUAUUCCCACGCACAGCGACGAGCACGUCCCAGAGAAUGGUGGUGACAUGGAGAUUGAGCAGUGAGAAGACGGAGUCACGGAGCCAGUACCGACGAACACGGUGGCAGGCGAGAGUGGACCUUGAGGGGCGGGUCCCGGAAGCACGGAGGGUGCCCAGCGACGAGCGGUGCAGGGUGAAAGGAGGCGCUGCAGGAGCAUGUCCUGGAGGAGGCCAGCGGCACGAGCGAUGAGGUGACCAACGCGACAGUUGGGUCCCUGCAGGCAGAAGCACGCGGCAUCAAGCAAAGGGGAUGCUGGCAGGGCACAAGGUUGCAACAGAGAAAGUUGGCGUGCUGUUCAGAUCUUGGGAGGUGGCUUUGGAUCAGAAAACUUAUGAGCUUAUUGGGACCGAUUAUCCUGGUAAUAUGACACUAAAGGAUAGUGGUAGCAAGUGAGGUUAUUUGGCAGCUUUGUAUAUGGCACAACUAGCAAGGAGGAAGGGAGUUGGAGACAAUGGUGGUGCAAACAAUCCUACAAUGAUCAUAUAGCGACAACAACAGUCAGUCUGCAGGUGGUUCUCUUUGUUCACAUAUUGACACCUCUGUCUCCGUGUUAAUUUCGUAAUAUAAAUUUGGUUACAAACCUAAAAUACUUGUUGGUGACGGUGACACAUCCUUUCAUCAGCAAAGCUUGCCUCGACAUGUGCAAUGACAGAAGCAACGUCACGAGCGGAGCCCUCUACGUCUCAGCUCGUCGUUCUUGAGGACCAUUUCGAUUUCUUGUUGCCGACUAAAAUGAUUUUUCUGAGUAGUUAAGAAGUCUCAAUAGAUGCUACUUACUACUAUAGCUUGUUCAUAUGGAAAAAUAGGAAGGGAAGCUAGCACUUGUGAGCCUAAAAUAUUUGUUGUCCUUGAGCUGCCUAGACUAUUUACAUCUCUCGUCAUAGAUCACCUCAAAGUUCUAGGGAGGCGCCCACUGUGCAUAGACAACUUACUGCUUGAUUAGCCUUUGCUAAGAUCAUUAUUUCUGGUGAGGCGUCCACUUUGCACUCUGUAGGGCAGGCGCUGUGUGGCAAGCCGCAAAAUAUUGUGAAUAAUGACCAAAUCCGUAAUGUUUCUGCCAUAUCAGCAAUAUCUCUUUGUUAUCUGCUUAGUGAGGCAGUUACAUGUGGCAGCUGGAAAUUUUGAAAGGCCCCAGAUUUUUUUUUCAAACUGAAGGCUCCCAGGUUUAUGAAGCAUAUGUCUAAUAGAUGAACCUACUUAGUAAUUCCUUAUGACUUAUGAACAUUUUGAGAGAAUUGAGUUGCUGAAUACUAAGGUAUAUAGUCGUUUCCCUUUUCCCCACUCCUGUUCCUAUGUAUUUUUGUUCAGCCUAUAAAUUGUGGCAAAUUAUAGCUUUUCCACUCUCAAGUAGGUCCCAUGAUGAUGUCAUAAAGAACGUAUGUCCUACUUUUCUAAUGUCCACCUAAUUUGAAUUGCCAAGAAAAGUACCGCCUUUUUAUUUUUGGAUGAUAAAGAAAUGGUUGUGGCUAUUUAUUAAUCUCCAGAGAAGCCUAAUGGUGCACUUCAUUUUAAUAUACACUUGCACACCGAGUUGCAGCCUCUGUUCGGUUUCCCCAUGCUAAUGUCCAGAUCAGUCCACCUCACCAUUUAGUUGAGCUUCAGCUGAAGAAUCUGUCGCAUGAAACUGCAACAAUACGAUGGUAGAUUGGCGCGUGCUCCCUUGCCAUCAUCAUUCUCUAGCUAAGUUUUGGUGUUUUCUCAUAUUCAGGUUCUAUAUUUGUGCUAUACUUAUUUGAAAUUUUUUCGAUUCAUUUCGUUUAUUACCUGAACUCUGUUUGUGCUGAUACUUAUCCAAGUAAGUGUGUUAUCAUCUUUCAUAUUUUACUUUUUCCUUUAUUGUAAACUUGCUACCGUCCUUAUCAAUGCAGCUGCAGAUUUUCCGCUCUCAUAAUGUGAUGUGCUCAUAAUCCUUCAUGAACCAUGAUUUCUUCUAGAAAACUUCAUCUUCGUAGUUAUUGUUUGAUCCAUAGUUUUCUUGUGUUUCUCUAUCAGUGUUUAUUUUCAUUCCUACUAUGCUAUACAUGUAUUACUGUAUGGUGUUGCCUCUGAACACAGUUUAUCUUAAAUGUCACUUGGAGAGACCACCAAAAUUUCGUAUUUCAUGUUUUUGGUAGAGUUCUUAUUAUGAUGAGGGUAGCAAUAGGUUGCAAUAUAGGUUGGAGGCUAUAAAUCAGGCAUAUGAUUCCUUUUUCUUCUGGUAUGAUCCAAAAUGUAUAAAUAACAUGAAUAGAGAAACUGACCACUUACGGUCCUGUAUUUGAGAAUGCACGAUGCACCUCUUCUUCCAUUUAUCCAAAUUCUUUGGCUUGCACAUAUUGGCAGAAUAGAUUAAUCAUAGUUACAAAUAGGGCAGAGAAAGCUGGUACAGAUGCAACUUGGUUUUAUCUGAUUAGUAUUUCUUAUAAUUAACUUAGGUGUUUGAGGCUUCUAAUGGUAGCUCACCAGCACUCAAUUUGUUUGAGCGGCAGAUAAUAUGUUGCCGGUCACGUUAAUUGGGGAGCGAGAUUUGUCAGUUGUGUUUUUCAUGCAUGGUUGACAGAAAGAUUGACACUUCAUCUACUGAGGGUAUUUAAAAACUCCAUUUUGUUGGCAGCAAGAGUCAUGGAAUUUUAAUAAAUUGAUAUUUUAUUAUCUACUUUUGUAAAAAGAUUGACACUGCGCAUGCACUUGAAGUAAAAGUCACCUAUUUCAUGUUUUACUCUUGUCCAUUUAUAUAAAAAAUAUAAAUUUUGUAUAUGCAUAAAUUUACUUAUUUAGUACUUAGGUUUCUCCUUGUGGUUUCUUAUUUCAUGUUUUACUCAUGUUUUAUCAAUCUGGUAAAGAAUCUUACCAUUUGAGGUUUGUCAUUCGUGCCAGGUGAACGCAAACACCAUUCUUGCAUCAUAAAAGGGCAGUUAGGUGCUCUGGUGUCUUGAUGAGCUAUGGGGAUCCCAAAGAUGGAAACUUGAUCCUAGGAAUCUCAAAAGAAGGCGAGUUCCUACGAUAGAAAUUCAUAAAUAAGCUUGCACAUGUGAUUUACUCCUAAUUAUAGUUAAGAAAGGCAAUGACGCAAGUCAUACUGUAACACCAUUACAUCUUAGUACUAUAAUUUUGAGAAAUAUAUUUGCAAGCAUGUUGUCGAAUCCCCGAUGGAUAUAUUAUACAUUAAUGUAUGACCAGGCAUUCACAUAUAUGCUCCUUCUUAUUGGAAUGGUCAUGAAUGAAAAGGUGGCUCAAAUUUUUGAUGGAUAUUCCCCCCUUGCUUUUUUUUACCUGUAACCCUAUUUUUGGUCAGUAUAAAUAUAUUGGAAGUUACAGUCUUAGUGGCCUGAUUGCAGGUCUAAUAUCUUGUGUGAACAAAUAAGUCAAAUGAUUUCUCUGUUUGUGUAAUUCCAUUUUCUCAUGGCAUCUCCCAUUCAAAAGGUAACUAGCAUUGAAUCUUUACAUUCUUUGGCCAAAUUGAGAAGUGAACUUGGACUAAUAGCUUUCAUGUAUAUGCAUAUUUUGUAUAUGUAUUUUUUUGCCUUCAUUUCCUUUCUGUUAAAACAUGUUAUUCUGAGUAAACUUAGGAAAACUAUAUAGCUUUAGUUGGAUAUAGCAUUCAGAAUUUCACCACUUAUCUUGGAUUUCUGAAAUCUUUUCAGAGGACAUGUUUUUGAAAAAAUAUGCAUGCUUUUGUCAUAGAAUUGGUGAGCAAUUUAGGUAUAUAUGUCGAUCCUGCUGUUACUAGCCUUUCUUGUCAUGUUGUUGAUUCUGUUGUAGAUCUAGCUAUGAUGUUGCUGUCAAGGGCCCAAAGAAGUAGUGAAUCAGAGGGACAAGAGUGGAGGAUGUUGUUAACACAGAGAAAACAAAGAGGAAUAUCAAUUCCGGAGGAAGCUUCAUCGCCACUGUCCCUCGCUUCUUGCCGUCUUCCACCGCCAGUGUCCAAUGUGAUGUUCACCGCCAUGCUGCAACGACAUCCGCAGGCUCACCAUUUUCCUGCUCUAGCCCUUGCUCACUGUCCAUACCGCCCUUCCAUGGUAGAGUCAUUAUGGAUGGAAAGGGGUGAAGGGUUGGGCAUCAGAGUGUAUGGCGUGCCUCACGACUCUCGGUGACUAUCAUCUCUGUUGCUUGCUCUUCAUCCAACUUCGUUGAGCCACAAGGGGUGUCGACUGUCGAGUGAGUAGAAACAACAAACGGAGCAGACUGCAUGUAAUUGCUUAUGUUCUUUUCUCAUUUUUUCGCAGGAUUUCACUUAUUGUUUUCCAAAAUAUGUAGAUCCUACUAAUUAUAGUCCCUCAUGUAGGUAUAUUUUAUCAUGCAUUUGUUAAUAAUCUCUUCACAGACAAUUCACACUUUUAGGCCCUGCUUCGUAUCUUUUGUUGUGUUCUCUUUAGGUAUCUAUGCAGAAUUAUUCUUUGCAGCUUUGUCACUUGUGGUGGUGUUGAGGCAAUUCUCUGCUGCCAGGUUUCUUUCCUCAAUGAGGUAAACAUUUAUUGCUUUCUCUAUACUGUUUUAGCCAGCCAAAUCAGGAUAACCUGGCCAUGUACAUCCUAUUUUUAGUUUGACCAGUCCUCACUGCUUGCUUUUUAUUGUGAUAUCUUUUCUCUUUUUAGCUUAGUGAAAAUGUUUUCCUGUAGCAGAUAACUUGUGCUGAAGUCGAGGGAUGAUACAUAUAUUGUGCAGAUGUUUUAGUGCAUAUACUAGAGUACCCUACUUAUAUAUUGUUAACUCUCGGCAGGCUGAUAUUGAUAUUACAUUUAUGAACUAAAUGCAGUUUUUUGUCCUUGUGUACAUUGAAUACAGCUUCCCUAUAGAUAUGUGAAAUGAAACAUUAUUUACAUAUUUUAUCCAAGUAUAUGCUUGUGUUUAUGAAAUUUACCACGGUCACCAUGAGUAUGAGUAGUGGGCCAUAUUGUAAUCCAUGAACAUAUACAUAGCAGCGUGAGACAAUAUUGUGUAAUUAACACAAGCAGUUAUUUCACUGAGUCUAAAAACCACAUUAGCCAUAAUGUGAUCACGUGGCUUGAGUAAUGUCUUGCUUUUGUCAUUUGCGUCGGGGCGCAACCGGUCAUCUAUGGCAUGUGUGUUCUAUUUUAUCAGCUGUACAUUUGAUUGUAGUUCUUUUUGUAUCUGUUUAAUAGGCAUAAUAUCGGAGGAACUGGCGGUAAUGAUGUAUAGUGAUCUUGGUAUGCAAGUAUGACCAGGCACUUGGUGUGGCCUGCACGCAUUUGUUCUUUGAUUCUUAGUGAGGAUCAUUGUGUAUUCUUAUUGAAGGAAAUGAUACUACUUCAAUUUUACUUAUUGUAUGCAUUGAUGGCACCCAAAGGAUUGCUUAUACAAGCUUAAGGGCUCUCAAAGACAUACUGAAUUCUUGGAAAUCUAAAUAGACAUCAGCCGAGUAAAACUUAUAUUUUUA
Molecule: long non-coding RNA, 6023 nt
Organism: Lolium perenne
Lineage: Eukaryota; Viridiplantae; Streptophyta; Magnoliopsida; Poales; Poaceae
Source: RefSeq, a predicted model, not a curated record